CAGUGUCGCAUGACACAGUGAGGAAAGGAAUUUCGCUUAAGGAUGGACCCGCGUUUGAUUAGCCAGUUGGCAGGGUAACGGCCUACCAAAGCAACGAUCAAUAGCCGGCCUGAGAGGGUGAACGGCCACAUUGGAACUGAGACACGGUCCAAACUCCUACGGGAGGCAGCAGUGGGGAGUAUUGCACAAUGGGGGAAACCCUGAUGCAGCAACGCCGCGUGAGUGAAGAAGUAUUUCGGUAUGUAAAGCUCUAUCGAUGGGGAAUAAAAAAAUGAAGGUACCCAAGUAAGAAGCCCCGGCUAACUACGUGCCAGCAGCCGCGGUAAUACGUAGGGGGCAAGCGUUAUCCGGAUUUACUGGGUGUAAAGGGAGCGUAGACGGAAUAGCAAGUUUGAAGUGAAACCCCUGGGCUUAACCCAGGACUUGCUUUGAAAACUGUUAAUCUAGAGUACUGGAGGGGUAUGGGGAAUUCCUAGUGUAGUAGUGAAAUGCGUAGAUAUUAGGAGGAACACCGGAGGCGAAGGCGCCAUACUGGACAGAUACUGACGUUGAGGCUCGAAAGCGUGGGGAGCAAACAGGA
Molecule: ribosomal RNA, 580 nt
Filed under: uncultured rumen bacterium
Lineage: Bacteria
Description: bacterial SSU rRNA
Rfam family: Bacterial small subunit ribosomal RNA
Source: RNAcentral